GGCCUCUUGCAACCCAUAAAUAAGAGGUCCAACCUGCCCGGUGACAAUAAGUUUAACGGCCGCGGUAUUUUAACCGUGCUAAGGUAGCGUAAUCACUUGUCUUUUAAAUGAAGACCCGUAUGAAAGGUGUCACGAGGGCCCCCCUGUCUCCUACUUCAAGUCUGUGAAAUUGAUCUACCCGUGCAGAAGCGGGUAUAAUAACAUAAGACGAGAAGACCCUGUGGAGCUUAAGACCAAUCAACCAAUCGUGCCUAACAGCCCACUCCCCUAACAGGUAAUAAAAGGCUAAACAAGCAUAACGACCUGUGAUUGAACUGUCUUCGGUUGGGGCGACCAUGGGGGAUAAAAAAGCCUCCAAGAGGAAACAGGGGACCAGUUCAACCGAUCCCUAAGAGCCAAGAGCCACCGCUCUAAGCAACAGAAAACUCUGACCAAUAAUGAUCCAGGCACUAGCCUGAUCAACGAACCAAGUUACCCCAGGGAUAACAGCGCAAUCCUUUCCCAGAGCCCAUAUCGCCGAAAGGGUUUACGACCUCGAUGUUGGAUCAGGACAUCCUGGUGGCGAAAAUUCUACCAAGGGUUCGUUUGUUCAACGAUUAAAGUCCU
RNAcentral lists this ribosomal RNA (606 nucleotides) under Marcusenius ntemensis. RNAcentral's name for it is "partial 16S ribosomal RNA". It matches the Rfam family "Bacterial large subunit ribosomal RNA", at positions 1817 to 2597 of the family's 2925-position model. Lineage: Eukaryota; Metazoa; Chordata; Actinopteri; Osteoglossiformes; Mormyridae. The record is from RNAcentral.